GUGCUGCGCUUGGCUGGCUGUGGAGUCGGCCGAAGCUUUCGGCGGCGGCUGAGCCAGCUGAGGGGAAAAAUGGCUCGGACUGUGGCGGCUUCGGCGGCUCAGGUUGUGGUAGAGGCGGAGGCUCAGGCAGCUUGAGGAUUCGACUACAUAUAUAAAGCAGUGCUGUACAUGAGAAAUAUGUGAGCCAAAAAUGGGAGUCACAUAGGUUUAUUUGUACAAAUAGCAC
Molecule: non-coding RNA, 226 nt
Filed under: Pan troglodytes (chimpanzee)
Lineage: Eukaryota; Metazoa; Chordata; Mammalia; Primates; Hominidae
Also listed under: 1 other name
Source: RNAcentral